AAUUAGCAAUCAGUUUGAAAUUGGUUCAAGGGUGCUUAUUUGCCUACAAUUGGAACUUGGAGAUGGGAAAAGCCCUUAAUGGUUCUUUUCAUGCUGGGCUACUUGUAUUUGGAUUGAUAAUGCAAGUGAAGGAAUUGAUGGUGUUUACGGUCAGAACAGUAGAUGGAUUUGAACCCGAAUUUGAAGUCAUCUAAUGCAUGUGAAAACAAGAUUUAUAUAGGUAAAAUUCAAG
RNAcentral lists this long non-coding RNA (232 nucleotides) under Populus tremula. RNAcentral describes it as "long non-coding RNA (PTRE_LNC002848)". Lineage: Eukaryota; Viridiplantae; Streptophyta; Magnoliopsida; Malpighiales; Salicaceae. The record is from RNAcentral.